RNAcentral lists this ribosomal RNA (920 nucleotides) under uncultured archaeon. RNAcentral's name for it is "bacterial SSU rRNA". It matches the Rfam family "Archaeal small subunit ribosomal RNA", at positions 1 to 922 of the family's 1478-position model. The record is from RNAcentral.
UUCCGGUUGAUCCUGCCGGAGGCCAUUGCUAUUGGGAUCCGAUUUAGCCAUGCUAGUUGUACGAGUUCAGACUCGUAGCGAAUAGCUCAGUAACACGUGGCCAAUCUACCCUUCGGAGCGCGAUAACCUCGUGAAACUGAGGCUAAUAGCGCAUCUCACACUCACACUGGAAUUGUGGAGUGUGUCAAACGCUCAGGCGCCGAAGGAUGAGGCUGCGGCCGAUUAGGUAGACGGUGGGGUAACGGCCCACCGUGCCGAUAAUCGGUACGGGUCAUGAGAGUGAGAACCCGGAGACGGAAUCUGAGACAAGAUUCCGGGCCCUACGGGGCGCAGCAGGCGCGAAACCUUUACACUGCACGCCAGUGCGAUAAGGGGAUCCCAAGUGCGUAGGCAUAGAGCCUACGCUUUUGUGAACCGUAGGGAGGUUCACGAAUAAGGGCUGGGCAAGACCGGUGCCAGCCGCCGCGGUAAUACCGGCAGCCCGAGUGAUGGCCGAUUUUAUUAGGCCUAAAGCGUCCGUAGCUGGCCGCGCAAGUCCAUUGGGAAAUCUCCCCGCUCAACGGGGAGGCGCCCGGUGGAAACUGCGUGGCUUGGGACCGGAAGGCGCGACGGGUACGUCCGGGGUAGGAGUGAAAUCCUGUAAUCCUGGACGGACCGCCGAUGGCGAAAGCACGUCGCGAGAACGGAUCCGACAGUGAGGGACGAAAGCUAGGGUCUCGAACCGGAUUAGAUACCCGGGUAGUCCUAGCCGUAAACGAUGCCUGUUAGGUGUGGCUCCCACUACGAGUGGGUGCUGUGCCGUAGGGAAGCCGCUAAACAGGCCGCCUGGGAAGUACGUCCGCAAGGAUGAAACUUAAAGGAAUUGGCGGGGGAGCACUACAACCGGAGGAGCCUGCGGUUUAAUUGGAUUCAACGCCGGA